UGGCUCAGAACGAACGCUGGCGGCGUGCUUAACACAUGCAAGUCGAGCGGUAAGGCCCCUUCGGGGGUACACGAGCGGCGAACGGGUGAGUAACACGUGAGCAACCUACCCUCAACUUCGGGAUAAGCCUCGGAAACGGGGUCUAAUACCGGAUAUCAUCUCCUGCUUCAUGGUGGGGGGUUGAAAGUUCUGGCGGUUGGGGAUGGGCUCGCGGCCUAUCAGCUUGUUGGUGGGGUAAUGGCCUACCAAGGCGUCGGGGAGUAGCCGGCCUGAGAGGGUGUCCGGCCACACUGGGACUGUUCUACGGCCCANAGACAUACGGGAGGCA
Molecule: ribosomal RNA, 328 nt
Filed under: uncultured Actinomycetales bacterium
Lineage: Bacteria; Bacillati; Actinomycetota; Actinomycetes; Actinomycetales
Description: bacterial SSU rRNA
Rfam family: Bacterial small subunit ribosomal RNA
Source: RNAcentral